AGCCGCCGCGGUAAUACGUAGGUGGCAAGCGUUGUCCGGAUUUAUUGGGUUUAAAGGGUGCGUAGGCGGCCCUGUAAGUCAGUGCUGAAAUAUCCCAGCUUAACUGGGAGGGUGGCAUUGAUACUGCGGGGCUAGAGUACAGAUGAGGUAGGCGGAAUUGACGGUGUAGCGGUGAAAUGCUUAGAUAUCGUCAAGAACACCUAUAGCGAAGGCAGCUUACUAGGCUGUAACUGACGCUGAGGCACGAAAGUGUGGGGAUCAAACAGG
Molecule: ribosomal RNA, 267 nt
Filed under: uncultured prokaryote
Description: partial 16S ribosomal RNA
Rfam family: Bacterial small subunit ribosomal RNA
Source: RNAcentral